CUCUGCUUCCCAUUUUAUCCGCAAUGAAAGUAAAAAAUUACUUUACUUUCCUUUCUUCAUUCCUUCAGUCCAAGAAACCCACAGUCUUUAGUUUCUGCACUCGGCUUUUCUAUUUUUCUUCAUUCCCCAGAAAACCCACACACAAUCUCAUUAAGAAAAAAAAAAAUCCAUGCUCCAUAUCCUUGCAUCUCUUACCUCUUCUCUUGCAAACAUAUGAAAGACUAAGGAAAAAUUGCGUUUGAGGUGAGCGGUAGUUUUGCAGAGGAGCUUCACUUGGAAAGUUUGCAGCAUCAAAUACAAAGUGAUCUUAUGCCAAGUGCUCGAUGUGACCAAAGUGAUUCUUAUGGUAUCCUUUUAGUUAUAUGUUCUAUGGCGAAUUAUAUAAGUUAACUUCUUCUUUUUUUGUUUACAAUUAGUUAAUAUUUAAAAAAGAUGUUAUACCUGCUAUAUGGACCAUGAGGUAUACUAUCUAUGUUGUUUAGUUUGCCUUAAUUUCUUUCUGUUUAGUUUUCAGCCAAGGUUGGAAUUUCUUAGGCUUGGCUGGUGCAACAUUAUUAAUUUUCAAGUUGAUUACAAAUAUGUAGUUGGGGAUAGGAUAGUGGCAAGGGAUUGGAAUGAGCUAGGGGUGACAAACUGUGGAAAUGAGACAAAACUCCCUAAGUGGAUCAGUUAUCGAGGUGGAUUGCCCAAGGCAUUAUAUGUGGUGAAAGAUGUAUUAACUGGAAUGAGAAAACAUGUUCAUCUGCUGGACAUAACAACUUUAUCACAACUCAGAAAAGAUGCACAUCCUGGCUUUUAUAAUGGCUUUAGGCGUAUGGACUGUAACCAUUGGUGUAUUGCUGGACUUCCAGA
Molecule: long non-coding RNA, 852 nt
Organism: Ziziphus jujuba (common jujube)
Lineage: Eukaryota; Viridiplantae; Streptophyta; Magnoliopsida; Rosales; Rhamnaceae
Exons: 3
Source: RefSeq, a predicted model, not a curated record